AACCCAUGGUAAGGGCACUCCCUUCGGUAUUCCUUGUAACGCUCCCAAGCAUCAUAGAAAGGUUCCGUCGGUCUUUUGCUUGAAAUUCAAGGUUCGUCGGUCUUUUGCUUGAAAUUCGAGAUCUUAUGCCUCAGAGC
RNAcentral lists this small nucleolar RNA (137 nucleotides) under Brassica oleracea var. oleracea. RNAcentral describes it as "Plant small nucleolar RNA R71". It matches the Rfam family "Plant small nucleolar RNA R71". From Rfam's summary of the family: R71 is a member of the C/D box family of snoRNAs containing the C (UGAUGA) and D (CUGA) box motifs. The record is from Rfam by way of RNAcentral. Lineage: Eukaryota; Viridiplantae; Streptophyta; Magnoliopsida; Brassicales; Brassicaceae.